This is a long non-coding RNA of Rhodamnia argentea, 206 nucleotides long. RefSeq lists it as uncharacterized. The record is from RefSeq and is a predicted model, not a curated record. Lineage: Eukaryota; Viridiplantae; Streptophyta; Magnoliopsida; Myrtales; Myrtaceae. The transcript is spliced from 2 exons.
GGCUUCGGGCACGAGGUGCCGGUUUGGAAGAAGGAGCUCUAGAUGGAGGGUUGCUGCUGGAGUUCUGGGUUUCUGGAUUGAGCGGCUUGUGUGUCCUAGGAUCGAUUCCUUGACUGAUGAGCUUCUUGCUCAGUUGCGAGCGUGCCGCAGAGUGCGCGCGCUUCUCUCACUACUCACUGGAGAUGGUCGAUGGAGCGAAGGAGAUG